ACAUCUCUGGCUUUGUAUCUGAGGCAGGAGAGAAGCGAUGUCCACCUAGUGGGAUCUGUCGGGAAAAGAUUAUAUUGAAAAUGUCUGAUUCUGAGAGAUGUCAGCUUCACCACUCCCUCACUUCCUAAUGCACCAGACUAAGAGCUUUGACUGUAUUUCUUGAUUUCCUGCAAAAACUUAGAAGUUUAUAAGAAAAUGAGGGACUUCAUGUCUCCUGGACUCGGGUCAUGUUUGAAAGCAUUUUCACAGGACAGGGAUUAGAAUUCCUCAUCUCUCCCACAUUCCUGCUUGGUUUUAAACCUCUUGAAGCUCUUUUUUCCAGCCUGUGGGCUAUUUCUUGCCCCAGUAGGAGGAAUCUUAGCUGCCAUAAUUCCAUGGAGCCUGGAUUUAUAGAGAGAUUGCCAUGCCCUACAGACCUUUUCCCAACAAAUUUUGAAAGGACCUGGCUUUAAAACACACACAUCAUCACCGAAAGACUGCCCACAGAUCUUUAGGCUUUCUGCAUUGACAUAAAUACAUUUUUUAAGGGAAAAGAAGAAAUGAAAAACACCUGUUUAAUUUUAAACACAUUUUUUAAGAAAACAAAUAACUGAAAAAGAAACUGUGUUCAUGUCAUAAGCUAUGUUGACAGUUGCCAGUGGAAAUGUUGGGUUGGUUUAAAAAAAAAAAAUAAAAGCUAUACUUAUAUCUCUCUGAAGACAGCUUGCUUCUCCCCAUGUUGCUUCAGGAAAAGGUCCAGGGGGCCACCUUGGGUUCCUUCUGGGGCUGUAGUGGUUGAGGUAAAAGUGUCGUCUCCUAUUUGUAUCUCCUGUUUGUAUCUGUCAUCUCUUCAGAUGCCAGUGUGCCAAGCCUAGGAUUUUU
This 861-nucleotide long non-coding RNA is filed under the name Bos taurus (domestic cattle). RNAcentral describes it as "long non-coding RNA NONBTAT002732". The record is from RNAcentral. Lineage: Eukaryota; Metazoa; Chordata; Mammalia; Artiodactyla; Bovidae.